UUAAAUUCAUAUGACCUUUAAUAUGCACCUAAGGUCAAAGGUCACCGAGUGCAAAAAAAAAUUACGCUGCAAUUUCAAGCUUACAUAUUAGGAAAACGAUAAGACUUUGCUGCAUACAUACAGCGCAUAAAAUGUUCUUCUCGACGAGCUCUACAUUUUAUACAAUAAGCCCAAAAAUGUCCGACCGUCUGUUCAAAAGUUACAACGGGAUGAUUCUUAAAAGUAUAGUAUUGUGUGUAUAUCUUUUUAAAUGUAACAGAUAUCAACCUACUAUAAACUGCAAAGAUGAUCAGUAAUUCAAGACCUUCAAUUUGAGGUCAAUGUCAGGUCAUGAUGAAAUUUCACCUUGACCUUCACAAUAUACAAAUGACCUUGACCUUGUGAUAGUUGAAAGGUUAAGUGGUCCUGAGUUGAAUGGUGCUAGUCCCAUGUCUCUACGACUUCCGGUUCUUAAGUUUAGUAUUGCAUCAUAUAUUUGAUGAUUAAUUGUGACCUUGGUGAACUUUGAAAUUGUCCAAAUUCUUUUUCUAUAAUGUUGUCCUUCAACUGUAGAUCAUUUAUCAUUUAACAGAUUUGAGAUAUCUAUUGUCGUUUAAGAGAUAAUGCAGUUUGAAGUUUUGCGAGCGGAGGCAUGUAUUUCUGAAUCAACAAGAGCUUACCACUUAAAAUGUUUUAGAAAUUGAAGAGGUUAAUAUAGUUAUAUGUUUGCCCAAAUACCAAAAA
RNAcentral lists this long non-coding RNA (723 nucleotides) under Mytilus galloprovincialis (Mediterranean mussel). The record is from RNAcentral. Lineage: Eukaryota; Metazoa; Mollusca; Bivalvia; Mytilida; Mytilidae.